UGGAGGGCAAGGUACAGACGGGCACAACCAGAAAGAGCAGGGGCUCUGCUGGAACAUGAGGGCGGUGAAGAUAAAUCUCUCUGUCACAUGCUUUUUCUGCACCUUCCAGGGAUGUUCUGUGUGUCACAAGGGCUGACUCAGCCAUCUGGACUCUGUCACUCUGGCCACUACUGCACAGGGGGUGCUGUGUCCCCAACUCCCAUCCAACACAAAGUGGAGGGCCCAGGGUUCUCUGGGAAUGACAUCUGCCCCCCUGGCUUCUUUUGCCCCAUGGGAACAGGUUUUCCACUUCCAUGCCCUCCUGGGUUCUAUUCCUCUGCUCGUGGUCUGAACAGCAAGGACCAAUGCCAGCCAUGUCCUUUAGGACACUACUGUGGUCAGCCUGGACUAUCUCAAGUCCUGGAGGCUAGUCUAUGCCAUGCAGGAUACAUCUGCCUUGGAGGAAGCACUGUCCCCUCACCCACUGAUGGGACCCAUGGAUACAGAUGUCCUCCAGGAUUCUACUGUCCUCCAGGGGCCCACCAUGAACUACCCUGUAAGCCUGGUACCUUUAGCCCACUGUCUGGGGCUGACACCUGCCUAUCCUGCCCACAAGGCACCUACUGUCCCAAGGCAGCUACUGUGGAACCUAUCACUUGCCCA
Peromyscus maniculatus bairdii (prairie deer mouse) is the source of this 642-nucleotide non-coding RNA. The record is from RefSeq and is a predicted model, not a curated record. Lineage: Eukaryota; Metazoa; Chordata; Mammalia; Rodentia; Cricetidae.